AUGACCUAUCAAUGACCAUUCAAUUCAAUCCUACUCAUGUAUGGAGGGAAAAUUUGUUGUACAAAUUCCUAUGAUCCUCCUUCUUCCUAGCUAAUUUUUUUUUUUCAACAUGAAACACACACACACACACAAUGAAUAAAAAACAAAGAUGCCCAAAAAAAGGUAAAGCCACAAAGACAAAAAAUUUAUAAGUUUUUCAAUGUAUUAAACAACCAGUUUUGUUGUGUGUGGAUGUGUUGGGGGUUUGACAUUAUAUAGACAAAUAAAUCAAAGAAAAUUGUAAUAAAUUAAGCACAAAUUUUAUAAGAAGAAGAAAAGUUUUUUUUUGAAGGAAAAGAAAGGCUUUUUUUUUGCCUCCCCCACCAUCACAAGCCACCAUCACCACACCUAACAAGAACAAAAAAAACAAAAUCAAGAAAGUACAUUUUCUGUUUUUUUUUUUUGAUUUUUGUUGUUUUGGUGUCACCAGCUGAGCAAAAGAUAAUAUGGGUCACAUUUUUUUUUGAUAAGAAUUUGAUCUUGGUAAGGAUUUGAUUUAGUUAUUCAUAAAAAAAGUUUUUUUUUUUUUUUUAAGGUUGUUGUUGUUUUGGCAAAGACUAUUUGGGUGGCAUUUGUAUUGUUUUUUUUUAAGGUGGUUGUUUUGGCAAAGACUAUUUGGGUGGCAUUUGUUUCUUGAUAAAACAUUGAUCUUGCCACCACCAGAGCAAAGGUUUAAGGUCAUUAUAAUUUCUAGUUGAAAUUUUUGAUCUUGGUAAGGAGCUGCAGCUGGUGGGCUGCUGGUUUUUUUCGAGAUGGGAAGUUUAGAUAUUACAAAAAUGUGGAGAGACCCUGGUGCUCCGGCUGAUUCGUUCUAUCAGGUUCGGCCUGAAUGUACGGAUGUUCCCAAGUCCAAAUUUAGAAUCAAGAAUGGAAAGACCCUAAGUGCAAGAAAAUGGCGUGCUGCGUUUUCUUCAGAAGGUGUUCUUGAUAUAGGCAAAACACUCGGUCGAAUUCAUCGAGGGGGAAUUCAUCCAUCAAUUAGAGGUGAAGUUUGGGAAUUCUUGCUUGGUUGCUACGAUCCAAAGAGCACAUAUGCGGAACGAGAGGAUAUAAAAAAACAAAGACGGACACAGUAUGCUAUACUAAAAGAAGAAUGCUGCACAAUGUUUCCGGUGAUUGGAAGUGGUAGAUAUAUUACUGCACCUGUAAUAACAGAAGACGGUGAUCCUAUUCUAGAUCCUUUAGUACUUCAAGAGGCAAAAGCGGCAAAAGCAGCAAAAGACGCAAAGGAAGAGACUCCAGCUGGUCAAGAAAAUGUAACAGGUGCUUCCGAUGAAAAUGAGAUGGUAAAGGAGCAUGACAAAAGAGUGAUAGAGUGGAAACUCUCGUUACACCAGAUAGGACUCGAUGUGGCUCGAACCGACAGGUCACUUGUCUUUUAUGAGAAACAAGAGAAUCUAUCAAAGCUUUGGGAUAUCUUGUCCGUCUAUGCUUGGUUUGACAAAGAUGUUAAUUAUUGUCAAGGGAUGAGUGAUCUUUGCUCUCCGAUGAUUAUUCUUCUCGAUGAUGAAGCAGAUGCAUUUUGGUGCUUCGAACGUUUAAUGAGACGACUGCGAGGAAAUUUCAGAUACACCGCUAAUUCUGUUGGAGUAGAAUCGCAGCUAAAUAAUCUAGCUUCAGUAACUCAAGUUAUCGAUCCCAAACUUCACCAACACUUAGAUAAGUUAGGUGGAGGUGAUUACUUAUUUGCUGUGCGGAUGCUCAUGGUUUUGUUCCGUCGAGAGUUUUCUUUUUGUGAUUCGUUAUAUCUUUGGGAGAUGAUGUGGGCGCUGGAAUAUGAUCCGGACAUGUUUCUUACGUACGAAGAACCUGAAUUAGUUGCGGGAAAAUCUGAAGAAUCUAAAGCAAAAGCAAAGUCACGCCAUGUUGGGAAAUAUGAACGAGAAAACAUGAAAAAUGCAGGCAAAGCUUCAGAAGGUCCACUUCCUAUUUCCGUUUUCCUAGUCGCCAGUGUCCUGAAAGACAAGAGUACUAAAUUGCUGACAGAAGCAAGAGGACUCGACGACGUUGUGAAGAUACUGAAUGACGUUAAUGGAAACCUGGAUGCCAAAAAGGCUUGCACCGGUGCAAUGAAACUUCACAGGAAGUAUCUUAAAAAGGCCGCGAACACCAACAGAUAGCUGAGCCAAAAGGAACCGCUAGAUGAUUCAUGAACCAUGGAGCUCAUGUAGACCAAGAAGGCUCUAACAAGUUGGAUACUCCGAUUUUCGGCCAAGUCAAGGGACAAUGGGUAUUUUUGUAUAUUGUGCUACUGAUUUAGAAAGAGAAAAUGUAAAUUGUUCAUUCCUUUUGGUUCCAUAUUUGGAACUACCAUCAUGUACAUUUAACUUUUUUUUCCAAGUAGUAAAUGUGCCUUCAAGGUUGAUGUAUACAAAAACACACUUCCAAAGUUUGUACAAUAUGAAAGCAAAAAAAGGGAACAAAUUUAGUCAAA
RNA transcript from Capsicum annuum, 2473 nucleotides. It is a transcript of the gene named rab GTPase-activating protein 22, with no coding region annotated. The transcript has 14 exons. The record is from RefSeq and is a predicted model, not a curated record. Lineage: Eukaryota; Viridiplantae; Streptophyta; Magnoliopsida; Solanales; Solanaceae.